GACGAACGCUGGCGGCGUGCUUAACACAUGCAAGUCGAGCGGUAAGGCCCUUUCGGGGGUACACGAGCGGCGAACGGGUGAGUAACACGUGGGUGACCUGCCCUCAGCUCUGGGAUAAGCCUGGGAAACCGGGUCUAAUACUGGAUAUGACUCCAUGACGCAUGUUGUGGGGUGAAAGCCUUGUGCGGCUGAGGAUGGGCCCGCGGCCUAUCAGCUUGUUGGUGGGGUGANGGCCUACCAAGGCGACGACGGGUGCCGGCCUGAGAGGGCGACCGGCCACACUGGGACUGAGACACGGCCCAGACUCCUACGGGAGGCAGCAGUGGGGAAUCUUGCGCAAUGGGCGAAGCCUGACGCAGCGACGCCGCGUG
This 371-nucleotide ribosomal RNA is filed under the name uncultured bacterium. RNAcentral's name for it is "bacterial SSU rRNA". It matches the Rfam family "Bacterial small subunit ribosomal RNA", at positions 28 to 403 of the family's 1533-position model. The record is from RNAcentral.